CUGCUGCCUUCCGUAGGAGUCUGGUCCGUGUCUCAGUACCAGUGUGGGGGACCUUCCUCUCAGAACCCCUACGCAUCGUCGCCUUGGUGGGCCGUUACCCCGCCAACUAGCUAAUGUGACGCAUGACCAUCCGUAGCCGGAAUCGCUUCCUUUAAACCCGAGGAGAUGCCUCCUCGGGUUGUUACGCGGUAUUAGACGGAAUUUCUUCCGCUUAUCCCCCUGCUACGGGCAGGUUUCAUACGUGUUACUCACCCGUGCGCCGGUCGCCGGCGGGAG
Molecule: ribosomal RNA, 276 nt
Filed under: uncultured bacterium
Lineage: Bacteria
Description: partial 16S ribosomal RNA
Source: RNAcentral